GCCAGGCAUGGUGGCACAUGCUUGUAAUCCCAGCUACUUAGGAGGCUGAGGCAGGAAGAUUGUAAAUUCCAGGACAGCCUGGCAACUUGGCAAGACCCUGUGUCAA
RNAcentral lists this small RNA (106 nucleotides) under Marmota monax (woodchuck). The record is from RNAcentral. Lineage: Eukaryota; Metazoa; Chordata; Mammalia; Rodentia; Sciuridae.